This 210-nucleotide long non-coding RNA is filed under the name Gossypium barbadense (sea-island cotton). Its description in RNAcentral is "long non-coding RNA (GBAR_LNC009335)". Lineage: Eukaryota; Viridiplantae; Streptophyta; Magnoliopsida; Malvales; Malvaceae. The record is from RNAcentral.
UUCGGCCCGCAAAUUCUGGAGAAUAGUUAUCCAUUUCUCUUCUGAGAUGUCGUCCCGCCUCGGUAUGGCCACGAAUUCCCUUAAUGGGGAAUAAUCCUUAGAGAAAACCCGAUAAGAGACCUUCUCCACCCUCCAGAAAUGGCUAUGGAACCAAGCUAAAAGAAGCUGAGCACAACCAAUAAAUCUUCGCUCGCCCGCUCUCCGGCAUGC